Gossypium arboreum is the source of this 1681-nucleotide long non-coding RNA. RefSeq lists it as uncharacterized. The transcript has 2 exons. Lineage: Eukaryota; Viridiplantae; Streptophyta; Magnoliopsida; Malvales; Malvaceae. The record is from RefSeq and is a predicted model, not a curated record.
GUCUCUGGAGAGUUCAGUCCGACAGUGAACUAUAAAGUGAAAGAGAGAUUCUUUUACUGUUCUUAACAAUUUGUUAAUCUGAUAGAGGAAUGAAGAAAAGGUUGGGUUAUUUAAAUUGGGCUAUCGUGAGAUUUCUUUCUUUAUAUUCUCUUUGUUGUUGAAAUUGAUGCUUUCAAAUGAUUCAAGGUGGUGGUCAAGCUUUGCUACGGGAAAGAAAGAAAUAUAUACUGUAUUGCGUGCUUUAACCUUGGAGAACAGGUGGGGGAUAAGGAAGCUUCUUUUUCCUUAGCGUAAGUUCAGAUCUUUAUAAAUAUUCCAUACAUAUUUUUAUGAUUUUAGUAUCCAAAUUUAGAUAAAUUUGGAUUUGGAUAUUGUAAUUAUUACUUAUGGACUUGAAUAAAUUUAUUAUCUAUUUUAUUUUAUUUUUUGAAAAUAUUUUCAACUCUCAUUCAUAAAAGAGGGUAAAAUGAAAUACAAAGCAAAUACAAGGUGUUCUCCAAUCACCUGACAAAAUCAGUUCUCAAACUAAAAAAAAAACCAAUAAAUAACGUUUAGAAAGAGAGCAAAAAAGAAAUGAAUUUUCUCACAGCUAAAACAAAUCAGGAAAAAAAAAAACAAAACCCUCUCAAUGUCUAUUGAAGCUGAAGAGCCAGAUCAGAAAAAUCCCCAACUUAAAAGAAAAGCAAGAACACUGAAAAACUCAGAUCAAAGAAGCCAAAAGGGAGAACAAUUUCGAAUCUUGCAACCAAGAUGUUGUGUGACAACAUUCCCACUACCCACAUGCAAGAAACAAAAUCGGACCAAGGAAGCAGAAGAAAAGCAAAACAAACUAUUCUGCUUGGAGAAAAUGUCGAUCUUCUUCCAGAAGUCGAUAAAUCUGCUUCAGGCCGUCCUCCACCCAAAAGGUUUUUUCUCCACAAUCCUUACCUAACCUUGCCAAGAGAUUAACGACCAUAUUCCUUUGUCUUGGAGUAAACACAAAAUCACAAUAUUGAAAAAAUUCUCAUGUGUCUAAUACAUAAUGAGACUAAUAGGAAAGAGAUCAAGAUAGUUAGACAGCCACCUUAUCAAGUCCCAAAUCUCGAGCAAAAGCCAUGGAUUGAAGACAAGCCAAAGCCUCUGUAGCAAAUGGAGUAGGGACAUUUACAUUAAGGACGAUACUACCCAUUACAAGCCCUCUCCCAUUUCUUAUUACAACCCCAGUACUGGAUUUGUUGGUAUUUUUACAAAAACUUGCAUCGAAAUUGACCUUCAGGAUAGGAUCUUUAGGGGGUUUCCAUCGAUUCAAAUGUUUCUUCAUGGGACGAUCCAUCCUGCUCUGAAGCAUCGAGAGUUCCAAACAGUACCCCUCGACAAAAAUAAGCAAAUCAUCCCCAGUCUGGAAGAUACUGCCAGAAAGACUUUUUACAUCAGAGACCUGAGUCGCAUCCCAUCAAAACCCAACUUCCCAAACACGUUAUACACAAAUAGACAGGCACAGAUAGCAUUGAAGACAUUCUCCACCCCUACACCACAACGAGAACAAACCGGAUCAGAAGCUACCCUUUUAAUACAAAGAUUAUGCCUAGAGGGAAUGUAAUUUUUGAGAAAUCUCCAGUUAGCAAUUUUAAUCUUCUAAGGCACCUGUAAUUGCCAAAUAUUACUGUAAAGUGUUUUAUCAGUAAGCUGUAUUUCUGUACCA